ACAUGAGAGUACUAUCUUUCUAACAUUUGUUUUAUUGGUUCCCAAAUUUUUACAAAUUUCCCUAGUCCCAGUCAUAGUCUUGCAUUAAUUUGUUCCAUUUUGUAGACCUGUCUAACUCUGUCUCUCCACUGUGCCACCCUUGGGGGUUCUGUGUCCAGCCAUAAAACUGCAAUACACUUCUUGGCAGUCAUAAGCAGAAUUCUGAUUACGUAUGUCUCCAUUAUGUGUGUGUGAUUUUUGGUACAGCAUUCCCAGUACAAACCAUUUUAACUUAAAUUGUAAUUUCACCUUCAAGGUUCUUUCAAUUUCUCCCUAACACCUUCCCAGAAUGGUAUGAAUUUAGGGCAGUCCAAAAGUAUAUGUGAAAAGUCUCCCACUAGCCUGCAUUUUCUCCAACAUAAAUUUGGAACAUUACUAUUUAGACAUGAUAAGUGGAGUUUUAAAGCAUGCAUCUUCACCUUCCAUUCAAAUUCCCUCCAAGACGGACUAUUAGUUAGUUUAUGGCCUGCUUCAAGUGUUUCCUCCCAUUCCUCAUCUGUUAUCAUUAUGUUCACUUCCAGUUCCCAUUUUUCUUUAAUAUCUAUAUUCUUAAUCAAAUCCUGUUGUAAAGCUUUAUAUAUUUUGAAAUCAGUCCUUUUUGACAUGUCCUUUUUGUUUAACAUAAUCACUUCCUCCAUAUUAAGUUUAUCCUUGCUUGAAACUUUGCCUUAUUUUGAAAUAACUACUCUGUCUGUCUGUCCUAAAUAACAUAUUAAGCAUGAAAUUACGAAUUAUUGUGAAAUUACACGCACAGGAAGUGCUUUUAUUUUGUAGCAUUUGCUCAGUCAGCUCUCGAAGGCGAAGCUUCUCAGCAGACGGAGAAGAAGAGCGAGGGUCGGAGCAGCAUUAACCGUCGGAGGUCGCGCUUCUGUUCUGCAUCUGCACUUGACAGUCACUCGUUCUGCACCACUGAGCUAAAUGUAAGUAGCCGCCAUAAAAGUUGCUUAAAUGUUGUAAAUGUUUUUAAGACGGACAUGGUGAGUAAUGUUGGCCACGUAGCAAGCUAAUAUGCUAAGUCAUUGCAUGAGUUAGCUGUGUUAUUAACUUUGUGUGCGACUAAAGUCCGUUUAUUAAAUUAAAUGAGCAGCGUUAUCUCAUUAUUAAAGGUUAGCAUUACUUUAGAUACUUUUUUAUUAGACUUCUAGAGACUUAUUCCCUCCAUUUUUGUCCCCUCCAUCGUAAUUUUUUAAACGUGACGUUCUGAGAAAAAAAUAAAAGCGGGAGCUCAGCGCCACCAAGUCAAACUUAAACGUCCACUUAUUAAAGGUAAAUGAGCAGUGGUCUCUUGUACAGCGAUGAAAAAAUCAGUCUGUGUUGUAAACUAUUUCCCCAUAGCACCCGUGCGAUAGCCUUGCAAGCAGCCUGGUUUUUUAACCGUAGAAGAGGAUUGUGACUGCAAGAGACGAAGCGGUGCUGAUCUCGAUGCUAUGUUCCCUCCUUCCCUCCAUUUUUGUCCCCUCCAUAGUUUUUUUAAAAGGUGAUGUUCUGAGGACAAAAAAAAAACGGUAAGUUCAGUUAGCUCGCGGGAGUUUGUCAGUUUUUGUGAAAAGUUUUAUUUAAUACACGCAUAGACAUACAAAUUUUGUUAAUGUUUUUAUCAUCAAAUUAAAUAGUGCUCAGUUGCACAUAUCUUGAAUGCAGAACGCUGUUUCUAUUAAUUUCACAGUAUUUUAGUGUUGUAAAUUUGUCCUUACUGUACACUGUUACUCCAGAUUCUUUUCUUUAAAUGUUAUGUUUUUAGCUUUGUGUGGAUAAGUCAAAUUACACUUGAAUCUCCUCACACACACACACACACACACAUAUAUAUAUAUAAUUUAGAUGAUUUAGCUUCAUAUAUAGUGGAGGACUGCCUAAAUUUUGCAGACUAACACAGAUCUACCUUGUGAUUCACAAUGUUUGUUUUCUCUACUGAAUAUGCUUCCUGGUGUAGAUGUGCAUUCCUAUGAGCUGUCAGCCACAUCGGGAAGCCUGUCUAUGAAUCUGCAGUCAGACUUCAAUGAUCCAACCCCACUCUCUGCACACAAGAUUGAUGGCAUGCUGCUGUUGACCCCCAAGAGGUUCAUACAAGUGAGACCACUGGUGAGUAAUUCUCACAAUCUGCAUUUUUGAUGGCACAUCCUAAAUAACAUGACUAUAUAUGUAUGUAUGUAUAUAUGUAUACAGAUUAGGGCUGUCGCGGUUGAGGAAUUCCCCCUGCGGUGAGUCAGGGCAGCUCAAUAUUGCGGUAUGCGAUAUUAUUGCACCCCGUUUUUAUUUAUGUACUUAGCAAAUUUGUUUGUUGAUUACUAAACUCAUGUCAAUAUUUCCUUUGAAACAUUGUGCUUACAUAUUUAAAAAAUGUUAGAAAAAAUACAUGGCCAUUUUUAACACUUUACUGAAUGCAGAUCGAAGGGCAGUUACGGCAUUUUCUGACUGAACUUAAAAACAACAUUCAGGAGGUUUAACUUUGAAAUGCAAAUUUGGCUGCACAUAUAACAGAAAUAAAAAAGUGCCCGUUUUGUUUUGUAGUUUAAAAUAAAGUAUACAAAAUGAGAUGUCCUAGGCACUGUCAUUUCACUUUCACACACAAGAAUAACAUAACUCGGUCAUGUCCUUGUUAUGCGCAAGGAAAACCAGCAUGUUAACCUUAUGCGGUUUGAGAGAGGAUCUGAGAGGGGUGACAACAUUUCCAGCGACACUAAAAACCCUCUCGGAUGGUGCGCUUGUUGCGCAAAUACACAUGUACUUACGUGCGACUUUGGAGAGCAAUAGAAAUCUCCCAUGUUUGUUGCGCCACCAUGUCAGAGGGUUUUCAUUAGGGUCAAUGGGUUCCUCCUGCAGGUAGCAAGUGAGCUCCAGCUCGGCUCUAACUCUCUUCGGGACGGUUACAGAUGACGUGCUUGUCCGUGACUUCAGCAGGUCUCCAAGCGUUUUUUUCUUUGCCGCUGGUGGCAGCACUGCCUGCUCCAAGGUCUCUGGCUGGGCUGCAGCUGACGCACUGACACCGCUCCCUCCAUCUUCCAUGUGUACUAUCUCCUCGAUCAGCACGGACUUUACCUCUCAGCAUGCGCUGUCGCGAGAUUUAAUCAAGUGCGGUAAUGGCGGUGGCACGUCCUGCAGCGCGGUGGGUUUCUUAAUAUCGCGAUAUUUUCUUCUUGCGGUUACCGCGACAGCCCUAAUACAGAUUUGUCUUUUAAAACUGGUGAAUAUACAAUUUACAGGUAAUGCCUUUAUGCUAUGAGUAUUAGAGCCACUGAUGGAAAAAAAAUGUAGAAUUCUGAGAAAAUAAGUCAUAAAUCUGAGUUUAAUCUCAGAGUUCUGACUGGUACCUAAAACAAAAAAAAGGGAAAUUGGGGAAGAUUAUGAGGGGGGAUCAGAAUUCUGACUUAAAUCUUAAAAUUCAGGCUUUUUUUUUUGUUCGUUUGUUUUGAUUUUUUUUUAACAAAAAAAAUUCCUAAAUAGUUUUUUGUUUGUUUGGUUUUAGGUUCAUGAAAAAAGUCAGAAUUCUGACUUUAAUCCCAGAAUUUUGAAAUUAUCUGACUUUUUUUCUCAAUUCUUUUCUUUUUCUUCAGUUACUCUAAUACUCUUAGGCAAUAAGGCAGUAUUAGGGCCACUGAAGGAAACAAUUGAAUACUGAGAUAAAUGUCAGAGUUCUGACUUUAUUUAUUUUAAGAAUUUUUUCUUCUUCAGUGGCCCUAAUACCCCUCCGUAAUAUGUAAUGUUAAACACUUCAAAUUAACUUUUGAAUUCAGCAGUUUAUCAUUGGAUUUAGAUGCAGAUAUCACUGUCUUGGAAAAUUGGUCAGAGCAGUUUGGCAUUAAGUAAAAACUUGACAGUAUUUACACUCUUAAUAAUCUUCUUAGGAAUUACAUGAUGUCCACACAAGGCGUACCACUGUUCUCCAUGCCCUUCCUGUCUAUCUUUGUGAGGAAACCUCUGGAUUUUUGAGGACAUGUGUGGUAAGUCCCAGUAUUGUAAAUUUGAACAAAUCAUUCUAUUUAUUUAUGCAUAAAGACAACACAAGGACAACGCACAUGAACAUUUUGGAAAAUGUGCCAUUGUUUCAACUACAAACCUUUGGCAAGAUGUUUAAGCCUGCCACACACGAGAGCAAUCAGCUGAGCAAACGGCCUCGAAUGACUGUUUGCUCAGCAGAUUGCUCGCCGUGUGCGCCUGAUUUUCACUGAGUUUUCCGCCUCACGAGACGCUGAGGUGAAUAUCUGACCAGUUAGAUAUUUUGCGCCUCACAGGGGUAAAAACUCACCAUGUGUGCACUACUGAGCUGCUGGCUGAGCUGAAAUAUUCUAGUGGCCAAUCAAAGCACUUUCUCUGCUCACAUGACCCCAAGAUGUAUUCAGAUGCAGCCCCUUGCCUUGUCUGCGUGUCUGAAAAAUAAACAAAAUGGUACCUUGUGGAUCGAUGGGCCCACUGUUUCCAUUACCCUUUCGGAAGGAUUCUGGGUCUUCCAGGUGCAUCUCUUGGAGUAAAUUGGCAUAAACUCCUUGCCUGGUCCAUCUUUCCAGCUACUGUACCCAUAUUUUCCUAACCUUGAAAUGCCGGUGGCGGCGACGUUUCAUCAACAAAAAAGGAUAGGCAUUUCCUCCGUUUCCAGCUCUGUCUCUGUGUUGUUUCUUUUCUGACAUGCAGACAGGGGGCUGCCAUCUUGGGGUCAUGUGAGCGGAGAACGUGCUUUGGUUGGCCACUAGAAUAUUUCAGCUCAACCAGCAGCUCGGUAAUGCGCACACGGCGAGUUUUUACCCCUGUGAGGCGAAAAAUAUCUUAACUGGUCAGAUAUUCACCUCAGCGUCUCGUGAGGCGGAAAACUCUGUGAAAAUCAGGCGCACAUGGCGAGGUAUCUGCUGAGCAAGCGGUCAUUCAAGGCCGUUUGCUCAGCAGAUGGCACUCAUGUGGCAGGCUUUAAGGCACUGAGAAAAAUCAACAAUCACUGCAAAGAAUUCAAGCAGCUUUCAUUAGCGUAACACUGGCACACACUGAAGCAUCUCACUUUAUUCGUAAAUGAGAGCACAAAGCAACAGAAUGAACAGGAGUAGGGCUGGGCGAUAUGGCCUAAAAUCAAUAUCACCAUAUAUUGAAGAUCUCACCUCGAUAACGAUAAGUAGACAAUAACUACAGGAAUGCGUAGCAACAAUAUUUGUCCACUAGAUGGGGCUGUCUCAUGUAUUACAUUGACUAAAAUUUUACAUGACUCAAGGUGCUACAGCUUCUUAAAGGGACAUAAAUGUGGCCAACUUACACAUCUUUUCAUUUUUUUAUUAUCAAAUUUAUUGACAUGGGAAAAAUUAUCUGGAUGAGAGACAAGAACUUGGAUAACGAUAAAUCUUUGACAUGUUGCCCAGCCCUAAACAGGAGUCUAUCAGACUGCAUUUAUUGUUAUUUACACGACAAUCUACUGAAAUAAAAAUGGCCACAGUCAGAGUUUCAGUUCAGAUGUGAUUAGUGUAUGAUCUCCCUUUCAUUUUUGUAAGGAUGAUACCAAUGAGCCGGACCUCGGAUGCAGCAGUUGUCCUCCUGACAACCAUCACAGAUGAUGCUGAGAGUCCAGUUACGUACGACCCAGUGAGAAUCUGUUAUCCUAGAGGGUGAUGUGAUUGUCAACCUCUCCAGCCUUCCUGAUGCCUUCCUGGGCAUGCUCAGUUGAAGUUUCCAUCUCUGCGCGUUCAAGAUGUAAGAAAAAUAACACGAAAGAAAUGCAACGACGAAAACUUCAAAAAGGCAUCAACAACCAAGCAAGUGGAUCCAUAAAAUGGACUGAUUUUUUUAAAGGCAUUUAAAAAAAGUCUUUCAAAAUGGACAGAAUUAACGCGUCAUGUUCAGAACAGUUUGCGUUCUCAUCUUUGAUUAAUCCUGGUAAACAGGUCUGUUUUUGUUCUGUUCUAAUUCUCUCUGUUUAAUAAAUUUAAACAAAAUGA
Non-coding RNA from Nothobranchius furzeri (turquoise killifish), 5948 nucleotides. The record is from RefSeq and is a predicted model, not a curated record. Lineage: Eukaryota; Metazoa; Chordata; Actinopteri; Cyprinodontiformes; Nothobranchiidae.